RNAcentral lists this long non-coding RNA (343 nucleotides) under Phoenix dactylifera (date palm). RNAcentral describes it as "long non-coding RNA (PDAC_LNC016853)". Lineage: Eukaryota; Viridiplantae; Streptophyta; Magnoliopsida; Arecales; Arecaceae. The record is from RNAcentral.
GGUAAACAGAAAUCGGACAACAUGCCCCAGAUUACAAAUAUGCGUCAGCCACGUUGGCUUCUAGGGCAUACUUCAAACAGCUUCCACCAGUCCACUCUACUAUGACGCGGGCGCAACGACUCCCAAACACCACGAACAGAGAAGAAACCCUUCGGAGCAUCAAUCCACUGCAAGACAUCCGACCUUCUGCUAUCUGGCCAGAAUGAAGUAGGAGUACUACUAAUGAGCUCAAGCCAUAUAGGGGAGCGAGAGAUAGGCCAUGCCACUCUUGGCCGUCAAUAAUAGCCUCCACCUUGGCAUUCUACCCAAGACCAGAAGCAUAGAUAAACCUUUCCCCAAACAC